CUCCUCUCAGGGUCGCAUCUGGAGAGAUCGCAGUACUCCACCAGUCUCGGCUAUGGGAGGAAGAGUCAAACUGAGGUAUACCUAUUCCAUUCCUAACUUGAGCAGUGGUUAGCGAGUGGAAGGCGAUCUGUUACAAGU
This is a non-coding RNA of Ornithorhynchus anatinus (platypus), 138 nucleotides long. Lineage: Eukaryota; Metazoa; Chordata; Mammalia; Monotremata; Ornithorhynchidae. The record is from Rfam.